GACGAACGCUGGCGGCGUGCUUAACACAUGCAAGUCGAACGGAAAGGCCCUGCUUGCAGGGUACUCGAGUGGCGAACGGGUGAGUAACACGUGGGUGAUCUGCCCUGCACUUCGGGAUAAGCCUGGGAAACUGGGUCUAAUACCGGAUAGGAGCCAUUUUUAGUGUGAUGGUUGGAAAGUUUUUUCGGUGUAGGAUGAGCUCGCGGCCUAUCAGCUUGUUGGUGGGGUAAUGGCCUACCAAGGCGGCGACGGGUAGCCGGCCUGAGAGGGUGGACGGCCACAUUGGGACUGAGAUACGGCCCAGACUCCUACGGGAGGCAGCAGUGGGGAAUAUUGCACAAUGGGCGCAAGCUUGAUGCAGCGACGCCGCGUGGGGGAUGACGGCCUUCGGGUUGUAAACUCCUUUCGCUAGGGACGAAGCUUUUUGUGACGGUACCUAGAUAAGAAGCACCGGCUAACUACGUG
RNAcentral lists this ribosomal RNA (465 nucleotides) under uncultured bacterium. RNAcentral's name for it is "partial 16S ribosomal RNA". It matches the Rfam family "Bacterial small subunit ribosomal RNA", at positions 28 to 507 of the family's 1533-position model. The record is from RNAcentral.